Molecule: non-coding RNA, 420 nt
Organism: Camelina sativa (false flax)
Lineage: Eukaryota; Viridiplantae; Streptophyta; Magnoliopsida; Brassicales; Brassicaceae
Source: RefSeq, a predicted model, not a curated record
CAUUUAUUCUUAAGUUCUUAUGACUCUUUUCUUAUUCUUUCUUCUUGUAAUUUCUCUUGUUUUCAUACUUGAUUCUAUUGUGUAGGUCUAAUCAAAGAUGAGACUCCAACAAAAUCACCCGAUUCUGGUUGAUCCGAGGUAUGAAGAAUCCAAACUUGAACUUUCCAUGAAGUCUUCUAAGGCUUAACAUCUCAAAGGAAUGCCAAGGCUGCAGCCAUUGGCAAUACUUUUUGUGUGUUAAGCGACUUUUAAAGGAGGAAUGGCCAAAACGACAUUCACGUGAAGCCCAACAACGACAUACAAACCGGGUUAUAAGUGAAAGGACGCAGAUCAUUGUCGGGUCGGGUAAUGUCGAUUGUUGAUUUCUGACAAAAUUACCUUUCUCAAUUUCAAUAAACACUCUCCUUCAUAACUAAUUGA